Amaranthus tricolor (Joseph's coat) is the source of this 3852-nucleotide long non-coding RNA. RefSeq lists it as uncharacterized. The record is from RefSeq and is a predicted model, not a curated record. The transcript is spliced from 3 exons. Lineage: Eukaryota; Viridiplantae; Streptophyta; Magnoliopsida; Caryophyllales; Amaranthaceae.
CAUUCUUCUCCCAUCUUCCUUCUUCUCCUCCUUCUUUCUGAUCUCCUAUGUUUUUCCUUGUUUUGUUUUUGCUGAUUUCAUCACUAGGUAAGAAUAAAAAGAAGAGGAAAAUAAAAAUAUAUAUAUAAUAAUGAUAAUAACACAAAUUCAUUACCAAAAAUAUGAGAUUUAUGUCAUUUUACAAUGUAUAAACCAUUAUUCAUCAUCUUCUUCAUUUGCCCCUUUUUCCCAAAACCCUUACAUUUUCGAAAACCCCAAUCAUCUUCCUUUCAUUCUUGAUUUCGAAGCAAACUAGCAACCAAAAAUACCAUCUCAUUCUGUCCCGGUUUCAAAUUGUAGUUAACCGCAUUUUCUCUCAUCUUUUUUGAAUUUCGAGAGUGCUUUUGGCAAAUACAAGAACCAAUAUCUAAUUUCUUGGGUUGAUUUCUUUGGUGUAAGACUGGGUCAGUGUAGGUGCAAGUUGAGGCAACAUCUCAAGGCUGAAUUCUUGCAGUCUCUUUCUGGAACUUUCGAAAGAACCAAAUAUUAAUAUUUCCUCCAGUUUCCUAUGAUUUCUCGGCCAAUCAACAGCAACUUCCUUCGUUUCGGUUGCCACUGGUUUCAAAGUGGAAACGAUUUCGAUAAGGAUCUUCUUGUUGAUAGCUAUGGUUUGGACUCAACUCGUUAAAGCAACGUUGUAGAUUGUUUACAGAUCGAAACCGGUCAGGAAUAAUGGGUUAGCGGUGAUGAUUAGAGUUACAAGGAUGUUAUAUUGAGCUGAAUUCGUGAGAAGUUGUAGUAUUGUAUUAGGUUUUUGAUAAGUGUAUAUUAGACUUGGUUAUGUUGGCUAUAUUGGAGUUUUAGAACGACUUUUAUGAUUACUUUGUAUUUUAGUUAGAUGAUUAGUUUGAAAAUUAGCUGAUUUAGCUAUGUUUUAGAACUGGUGGCCUCUUUUGCUCAAGUUUUGGAAUUGAAAUUUAAGUUUCUUGGGAAAUAAAUCUCGUGAUGACCCUGUUUACUCAGUCAAUAGUAAGUCGGGUUGUUACAGUAUCAGACUAGCUUUUUUCCUAAUAUGUUUCUCUUUUUCUUUCUCUUCCUCCUCAUUUACCGCUGCUGUUGGUCCUUUUUUGUAUUUUUUAUUUGUGCUUCAUGUUUUCCCUUCUUAUUCAACCCUUAAUAAUGUUUGAAACGACUUUUCAUAUUGAUUUCACACAAUAUUCAACCUUUGUGUAUUACAUACAUCCUUCAGAUCAUGAUAACCUAAAACUUGUCAGUAUUGUUUUUGAUGGAAUUGGAUUUGGAGACUGAAAACAAUUCAUGAUGAUAGGUCUUAUUGCAAAGAAUAAGUUGUAUUUUGUAGAUGAAACACUUCCUAAACUAUUAAAAGAUGAUGUUAACAAGAAGACAAGGUAAAGGUGCAAUAAUUUGGAGUGAUCUUGAAAAAUGAUUUAGUACUUUUACCUCUACACAAAUUAAUCCUUUUCGUGAAGAACUUUCUAAACUCUCGCAAUAAAACAAUAUCAGCAGUACUCAUACUUUACCAUUAAAGUUUCUUCUUUGACGUUUUAUUUUUCUUAUCAAUUCUCAAGACCUGAAGCCAAUAACUGAUACACUACAAUCAAGAUUUCUCCUACUGUUCUUCUCUUUCAUUUCAUUUAUUCUUUCGUUAAUCCUUCUAAUUUCCAAUUCACAUCUCUGCAUUGCAUUAUUCUUUCAAAUUUUCAAACUUUAAAAUUAAACAUUCAAGAAUAUUUCUUCUCCAUAAUUAUGUUGUCUGCAUGCUGUCAUUCUUCUAAACUCUUUAUUUAUUUGGUAAUUUUUUCUCCUUUAUUUUAACAUUCUUUAAUGAAGAGACAUCUUUAAUUCAACGAUUAAAUUCAAUUUAUAUUAACCUUUUUUUAUAAAUUGGUGAAGGAAUUAAGGCUUUGCUAGACUGCUUUAGGAUAAGAUUAGGCUUCUCAAUGAAGGUGGGAUUGCCAUUGAUGGCAAAAGGGCCAACGGCCCAUUUGGUUGAUGGUAAUGAAGUAAUGGGAAUGAAAUGUUGUAAUGGCAAUAGUAAUGGAGAAAUGGAUAUGAGAAUCGGUAAUGAAGAUUCUUUUGUUUAGUGUGCAUGACUAAAGAAUGGUAAUGGAAGAUAAUAUUCCAUUGAUUGCAUUUGGUUGUUAGUAAUAAAAAAUGAUAAUGACUCUUAGUUUCAUUAUUGUAUAUUUAUAUCUAAAAGCAUUAUUUUAUCUAAAUUAUUCUAUUUAAUGAUUCUUUUUUUAAUAAUAAUAUUUUUUUGGAUAAUUACAUACGUUACCUUUUUUUUCUUUAUUAUUUUUUUUCUUCAACUCGAAACAACAUUACCUUAUUUUAUUACCACAGUAAUACUUCAUUACCAUUAUAGCCUAAUACCAGGUUGUUUGAUGGUAAUAAAAAUGACCCUUUUUGGUAAUUUCAUUACCUUAUUUUAUUACCAUCCAUUACCAUUGAAGGCAUCCAAACAACCAAAAUUUUUAUUACUUAAUUUUAUUACCAUUACCGCCCUUUAAUACCAUGUACCAAACGGGCCGUAAAAGCUACUUUAGAAGGUUUUGAUCUGUUUCUUUAUUCGAAUUCUCUCUAAUGCUUUUUUGUGAAGGAACUAAAAAUAUAUUAAAUUGAUUAAUUUAUGUAUUGCUACAAUAUAAACUAAAAUUAUAGAGGGUACUUUGGGUUUGAAGUAUUUUUAAUGAACUCAUAGAAUGAUCAAUAUUUACAAGUAUAAAUUAAGAAUGUUCCUCAAUUGUAAACUGAUAUAUGCAGUAGUGUUGUUUUUACUAAUGAUGAGUGCUUACUUCAAGUCUAUUGAAAGUCAAAAAUUCUUGGUAGAUUGUGAGAUGGACUCUAUUAUGUUGAUGUUCCAUCAUUUACAUUACAAAAUCCUCAAUAAAAUUCAACUUGUUAAGCUACACGGCCUUCCAAACAAUAUACAAAAAAUGUUGAUCUAACUAAAUUAUAGCAUCUUACACUAGGUCAUUUACCAUUUUCACUAAUGAAACUUUUAUUUUCUGAUCUUCAUGUAAAUAAAGUGCAUAAAUCCACUAUAUAUACUAUUUUCCUUGCUACAAGGCAAACUAGAAAACCUUUUCUUUCUAGUUCUCUCAAGACAUCCAAAUCUUUUCAAUUACUACAAAUAGAUGAAAUGGGGCCCUUACAAAUAUGUAACUCAUGAUGGUUAUAGUUUCUUCUUGACAAUUGUGGAUGAUUAUACUAUAGCAACAUAGAUUUACCAAAUGAAAACUAAAGAUCAAUCUACUUUCAACAAGCAGUUUUAUGCCUAUGUUGAAACACAAUUACAUUGCUCAAUGAAAACCAUUCGAAGUUAUAAUGCUAGGGAACUUUGUGAAGAUGAAGCGUUACAUUAUUCUCAACCUUGACGACCCCAUUGAGAUGUUGGGCAACAUCUUGGUUGCUAUUGCCUUGGGAUUAGCUCUCCCUUGUGUAUUCUAUAAAAAAGAUUAGUGAAGCGAACUGCUUAGUCCAGGCAACGAUUUAGUCAAGUGAAGCGUGGAUAACUGGAUAAGUCAUAGCACUCAAGUGGAUUAUACAAGAAUGGAAGUUAAAUCUAGAGCCUUUGUAUGCUAGGUUGAUUGUGUUUAUGAUUGAUUGGUUGGUUUAAAUUAAUUUUUAUCUCUAACGUGUACUAUGUUUUGUUACACCUGCGAUUAUGUUGUCAUUCGACGACUAGCAGAGCAAUUACAUGUCCCUACAGAUGUGAGGACAACUAUAUCAUCAAGAAUACCUUUCCUUUUGAGCUACGUGAACAAGACCACUUAACAUGGUUCAUCCCUAGUAUGCUCCCAAACUUGUAACUUGGUCAGCUAAGUAAGGUUAAGAAAUGUUUAUUUUUAU